This is a long non-coding RNA of Canis lupus familiaris (dog), 406 nucleotides long. RefSeq lists it as uncharacterized. The record is from RefSeq and is a predicted model, not a curated record. The transcript has 3 exons. NCBI's taxonomy places the organism in Eukaryota, Metazoa, Chordata, Mammalia, Carnivora, Canidae.
UGGAGAGGACAGCGAGCUUGGAUUCUGCAGAAAGGCAUUAGGCGAGCAACAUUUUCCAUCUGGAAUGUCGCCGUCAGAUAACUUUAUUCAUCUGAGUUGAUUCCAGAACAAUGCAAUUAGAUGCAGUAAGAAGCAAAGCACAGUGGAAAAACAUGCAGAAAGCAUACUGAAUGGAAUUAAACUGAAAGAUGGACUAAAGACUUGGAAAUUAUUAGAAUGAGGAGGGGUCUUGAAAAUCUACUCAUUCAAAGCUUUCAUUUCAGGAUCAGAAACCGGGGCCUGAGAAGGAGGAAGAUUUAUAUUUGCAUUCCAAGGUGUAAGGGGACUAAAAUGAGGCAGAAAAUGAUGCUAAGUUUAUCCGAUCAUCACUUAACAAUUGCUACAAUGAACAGGAAAAGUGGUAAAA